AAUGGCGUUCAACAAAAACUAUGUGACACGGCUGCCGGGUCAAGCGCCAUACGAUUACAUGACACGCCUCCUGUGUCUUCAGCCAUGUGGAAAAGAAUACAGUAUUUCAACCAGUUUUUACAUGUUUUAGGCUUACAUACUUUUAGUUGACAUUCGAAAUCUAACGCGAACAUACAGAAACGUUGUUUCAAGUGAUUAUAAGUGGCAUAACAAGUGUAUUUUUGAAAAUGGAAGGUAAGUGACAUUUCUAAUGAAGGUGUGCAAAACCUUUUGAACUUAUUUUUAAGUCCUAAUGGUUUGAAUAGUUUUAUAGGAAUGUGGGCUUGACUAAAUGAGGUUUUAAGUUAGUUCUGUAAUUAUUGUUUUGGUUUUGCUCACAAGAAAUUUCAACUUAUUUACACUACGUAAUGAUAAACUGUCAAGUUUGAUUUAGUACUUAAUAGGUAUAUAUUUAUUAAAAAUACUAGCUUUUUUCCCGCAAUUCGCCCGCGUUCAAAUUAAUACAUUGUCUAAGCUUAAGUUGAUUGUACUAUUCCCGUUCAGAAUUUCAUCCAAAUCAGUUCAGCCGUUUCAGCGUGAUUGAGAACAAACAUCCAAAUUCACAAAAUUACAAGCAUGAUAACUUCCGCAUUUAUAAUACUACUAGUAUGGUUGUCAUAUGAUACAUUAAGUCAUUAAGACGACUAGUGCAGCGAAACUAGCGCCACUCGUCUAUAAAUUCCGUAUCAUAUUUUAAAAAUCUAAUCCCAUAGUGUCAUAGUAAAUAACACAUAGUAUUUUUCGCAGUUUCAUAUUUUUUCCUUUCAAAACCGCCGAGGGAAAUUGAUUACCGCCAAAAGUGGCCACUUUCGGCGGUAAUCAAUUUUUCUCUGAAUUUACCAAAGGAAAAAUUAUCAAACUUAUAUAAUUACGGCGAAAAAGAAAGUACAUUCCCGAGACAGAAACUGAAACUCAGUGCGAAUCUGAUGACGAAAUUUUCGAGCCAAAUUCGCAAAAGUAUUUACUACACAGGGACAACUUCGAAUUUACACAAAAUAUAAAAACAAAGGAUAUUUUUAUGUGCCCAGAAAAAAAUAUGGUACAUAGUGCAACAUGUACAGAAAAAGUAAUGGUGGAUAGAGCAAUUUGCACAGAAAAUACAAUGGCGGGCAGUGCAAAGGAUAUAGAAAAAAAUAAGGAAGAUGAGGAUCAGGUCCCAACUAUCUUGGACAUCCAUGGAUGUAAAUAUUUUGGCCAGUUGGUUUCAAAUGAAUUGCUGCGCUUCAAGCCAUAUGACAGAAAUAUAAAAAUGCAGCAAAUUUUGGAUAUGAUAAGAAAAUAAUUUUAGUAAGUAGGUACAAUAUAAAAAAAAUUAGAAAAGAGUUUUUAAUGAAACUAGGUUUUAAAUGAAAACCAUAUAUUUAAAAAAAGUUACAUAUGCCGGUUCGAUCAAUUUGAGCGGGAAAUUUAAGUACACAAUAAUAUUUCCAAGUAUUUUUGCAUUUGGCGAACUGAAAUACAUAGAUCAAUGUAGUUUUCGUUCAGUAACAGACAUUUUUGCAGUAACCUAAAUGAAACCGUAUACAAUUGAGUUAUGGUCAAUAUUUUUAACACUAUCCCGCCAUCCCGCUCAAUGCAAAUCGGAUCAUCUUAAUCUUUUCUACUGACAUUGUUCUUAAAUUAUAAGACUGAUUGUAUAUCAUUUAAAGGAGACUGGAGACUGAUAUUUUAAGUAAAGUGCCAGAUUGAUUUUUAUGAUUAAGAAGUUUUUUUUUUAAUCAGUACCUAUUCAGUUUUUAAUCAAUAUCCUUUACAAAAAAAAAAUGGUGUUUCACAAAUUUUGCUCUAUUAUUAUUGACCAUUUCUUAUAAAAGUAAACUGAACAUGUGAUUACAAAAAUAGUUCAGAAGUCCGUAGACAAUCAGUAUGUACUGUCAGUAGUAUUUUUAAAAUAAGUACCUGACUGAUCGUAUUUUUUUUUAAUUAAACUUUUAAAUUUGAAAAUCAGCAAAAUCAAAUUAUAGUGAGUAGCCUCUUGCCAAUCAAGUUAAGUAUUAUAAAAACCUAAAAAAUCUUCUAUAACACAAUUUGUAAUUUUUAACAAUCACAAUACAGUAUGCUAAUAUUUGUGAAAUUCUCUAAAACAUUUAUCAAUACAUAGACCCGGAAAUCCGGGGCAAUCAGGACAGCCAAAUAAAACAGAAACUCUUUUUUUGGUUUUCAAAUAACACACUCUGCAUCUUUUUCUUAGGGUAUUGCCAUUUUUCUUUGGCAAGUUGGCAGGUAAAUGUAUUUUUCCUUCUGAUAGAGACCGAGAAAGUUCUGUUCUAUUUGGCAUUGGCAGUAAUUUCUCCAUUAUGUCCAUUCUAAAUUUGUACAAAGUUGUUUCAUUUCCUUUGUUUCUUGCGUUAAAAAGCAAAAAGCCAUUUACUAGACAUAUUUGUAUUAUAUGUAUAAUAACUUUUUUGUACCAGCGCAGGGUCUUAUGCUCACAGCAAUAAUAACUUAACAUCUGAUCAUGUCGGUCUAUUGCCCGCAUGUAUUUAUUAUAUUUUAUUUGUACGGCCGGUUUGUAUUUGACGGUGCGUACACGGCGACUAGUAGUCGCUUUAUAUUGACUUGUGUGUUCCGAACUUAUGAACAAUAUCUCCCGUUUAUCUUGCCAUUUGGUUACUACAAUUUUUUUCCAGUUGUGUACUAUACACGAUUCUCCUGGUUUUAAUUUUAUAUUUUUUACUACCGUUGGAUUACCAAUACGGUUUGCUCUUAAGGUACCAGUUACGUAUGUAUUUUUACACAAUAACUCCUCAGAUAACCCCACGCUGGUAUAAAAGUUAUCUAAAUAUAAGGAAUGUCCCUUUUCAAUAUAUUUUUUCAUAAGAAGAUGUACAACUUUUUUAAUAUGAUUUUUACCGCCUACUUGUGUAUCUUGAGACCCUGCGUACACGUGAAUUUUUAAAAUAAUUCCGUUAGCGUCGGCUAAAAUGUACAACUUGAUGCCGUAUCUAUGGGCUUUACCUGUAAUAUAUUGACGAAAACGAAGUCUUCCUUUCCAUAAAAUAAGAGAUUCAUCAAUAGUUAAUUCUCUCAAUGGAUAAUAUACCGAAUCAAUCGUGUCAUUGAACAAAUCAAUUAACGACUUUAUUUUAAAUAUACUUUGGGUUCUCUCAUUAUUUUGCACGUUUAAAGCUCUUAAAAUUAAAAAAAAUCUAUCUCUCGACAUAAAUUGACGUACACAUAGACGAAACAAAUAAUGAGUUGACCAAUAGUCUGUUAGUCUAUUUAGCUUAAUUGUCCCCAUCAGCAACAGUAGACCGAGAAAAGUUUUGAAUUCGGCUACACUUACAUCAGUCCACUUGCGAAAACGAGCGCGUGGAGUAGUCGCUGUUGCUUUUAGUUUGUUACCGUACUUAUUAGUACACUCCAGAAUUAAAUUUAUAAAGUGAGAAUUAAAGAAUAAAAAGAAAUAGUCCAAAGGACUUUUGACGUUUACAUCAUGUGGCGGCAACAUACCACUUGUCCCUGUAAAGAUUAUAUUGGACAUAUUUGUAGGAUUACCCGGAUACCACCCGGUCGUCUCUUCUGGAGAAGUAUCUUCUUCCUCUUCGGCCUGUUGAUUUUCGUAAGAAUUGCUAAUAUUUGUUUCUUCGUUCGGAUCUGCACUAUUAAGUUCAUCCAAUGUGUCGUCGUUAUUGCCGGUCAAAAUCCCUUAUAGUUCUUCGUCACCAAUAAAAUCUAAGCCUUCCAUAUCGUAUAAUGGCAUAGUUUCUUGUGGAGACAUCAUUCUUCCUAAUUCUACGGUUAAGGGAUCUAAUGCGGUUGGUGUACCGAAUUGCGGCGAACUCCGAGCUUCCAAAGGGUCUAUAGCGGAUGAUGGUCCAGGUGUUGGUGAACUUGGAAGAAUCAUAUAUGGAUUCAAAGGAUCCAGUGAAGUUAAUGUACCGAAUUGCGGCGAACUGCAAGCUUCCAAAGGAUCUAUAGCUGAUGAUGGUCCAGGUGUUGGUGAACUUGGAAGAAUCAUAUACGGAUUCAAAGGAUCCAGAGAAGUUGAUGUACCGAAUUGCGGCGAACUGCAAGCUUCCAAAGGAUUUAUACCCGAUGAUGGUCCAGGUUUUGGCGAACUUGGCAGAUUAAUACUUGGAUUCAAAGGAUCCAUGGCGGAUGGCGGCUCCGAAGAGUUCGAAAAGACUUAAAGUUUUAAUCCAAAUCAUUCUGUUUUAAUCCAAUAAAAAAAAAAAAAUAAUAUUAAGUAUAUAACAUAUAACAUUUAAGUUUUUACCUAUGUUAAUAAGAAGAAUGUGAUAAGUUAAAGUGAUUUAGUUUAUUUAGUUUAUUUAUGUUCGCGGCUAAGGGGUGGCCCAAGGGCCGCCGCACCUUAACCUAUACUAGUGUUUUUAAGUAAUUUAAAGUGAAAAUACUUAUUGAAAUGUUAAUGUCUUACAUUUUCAGGUUCAGGAAACCAUCAACAAAAUUCUCUCGUUUUCUCGUUAGAAAAUCUUAUGAAAAAACUUAUUCAAAUUUUAGCCACUUAUAAGGGUUUAAAAUAGAGUUAGAAUAGAAUUUAUGAACUAAAUAAAUUAUAAUAAACUAUGAUUAUGACUAUAACUGUUAUGACAAACCCAUUAUGAUAUACUAUUUUACAGCAAAACUCAUUAUUAUAAACUAACAUUAUGCCUACACAAGCAUUAUAGCAAUAAACUUUAUGUGAAUCAAUUAUUAUGUUAGAAAAAUUAUGAGAAAGGCCUUAUGACAAACCAUAUUAUGAUAAAUUUAAUCAUGAGAACAAACAGGAUCCCUCCAUUGGAUACAUAGAUAGGUACUCUUUUGAACAAAGUUUACUCUGUUCAAAAGAGUACCUACCUUAUAGUGUGCUCUUAUAGGAGUUCAAAAGAGUACCAAUAAGAGUAACUUACCCAAUAAGUUACCAUGAAGUUUACGGCAAGCAGAGAUUUAUGUACACAGGCUGAGUCGUCACAUUGGCAGAUCACGGAGUCCAGUUAUACAAGCAGCAGUCGUUUUUUUACGAAGAUCAGUGCACAGUAACACAGUCCUCACAACACAAAUGUCGAAAGCCCAGAUAUACGAUCUCAAUGUCAUCGAUACGCACGCAGAUCUGAUCACCAAGGAUAGCAAAACAGAACUAA
Plodia interpunctella (Indianmeal moth) is the source of this 5123-nucleotide long non-coding RNA. RefSeq lists it as uncharacterized. The transcript is spliced from 2 exons. The record is from RefSeq and is a predicted model, not a curated record. NCBI's taxonomy places the organism in Eukaryota, Metazoa, Arthropoda, Insecta, Lepidoptera, Pyralidae.